UACAGAGGUCUCAAGCGUUGUUCGGAAUUACUGGGCGUAAAGGGUGCGUAGGCUGCGCAGAAAGUCAGGUGUGAAAUCCAGGAGCUCAACUUCUGAAUUGCACCCGAUACUCCUGUGCUAGAGGAUUGGAGAGGAGCUUGGAAUUCUCGGUGUAGCAGUGAAAUGCGUAGAUAUUCGCAAGAACACCAGUGGCGAAGGCGGCUCACUGGCCCGGUACUGACGCUGAGGUGACGAAAGCGUGGGGAGCAAACAGG
Molecule: ribosomal RNA, 254 nt
Filed under: uncultured bacterium
Lineage: Bacteria
Description: partial 16S ribosomal RNA
Rfam family: Bacterial small subunit ribosomal RNA
Source: RNAcentral